UUUAAAUGGCCGCAGUAUACUAACUGUGCAAAGGUAGCAUAAUCAUUAGUCUUUUAAUUGAAGGCUGGUAUGAAUGGUUGGACGAAAUAUUAACUGUUUCAUAAAAAUUUAUAUUAGAAUUUUAUUUUUUAGUUAAAAAGCUAAAAUUUAUUUAAAAGACGAGAAGACCCUAUAAAUCUUUAUAUUUAGUUUAUUAUAAUUAAAUAGAUUAUUUUUAUUAUAAUAAUAAAUAAUAUUUUAUUGGGGUGAUAUUAAAAUUUAAUAAACUUUUAAUUAUUUAAGUCAUUAAUUUAUGAUUAAUUGAUCCGUUAUUAACGAUUAAAAAAAUAAGUUACUUUAGGGAUAACAGCGUAAUUUUUUUGGAGAGUUCAUAUUGAUAAAAAAGAUUGCGACCUCGAUGUUGGAUUAAGAUAUAAUUUUAGGUGUAGCCGCUUAAAUUUUAAGUCUGUUCGACUUUUAA
Molecule: ribosomal RNA, 460 nt
Filed under: Cordilura umbrosa
Lineage: Eukaryota; Metazoa; Arthropoda; Insecta; Diptera; Scathophagidae
Description: partial 16S ribosomal RNA
Rfam family: Bacterial large subunit ribosomal RNA
Source: RNAcentral